GACGAACGCUGGCGGCGUGCUUAACACAUGCAAGUCGAACGGAAAGGCCCUGCUUUUGUGGGUUGCUCGAGUGGCGAACGGGUGAGUAACACGUGAGUAACAUGCCCCUGACUUUGGGAUAACUUCAGGAAACUGGGGCUAAUACCGGAUAGGAGCUCCUGCUGCAUGGUGGGGGUUGGAAAGUUUCGGCGGUUGGGGAUGGACUCGCGGCUUAUCAGCUUGUUGGUGGGGUAGUGGCUUACCAAGGCUGUGACGGGUAGCCGGCCUGAGAGGGGGACCGGGCACAAGGGGCCUGAGAGAGGCACCAGACGGCAACGGGCGGCAACAGUGGGGAGUAUUGCACAGUGGGCCGGAGCCUGAGACGACAACCCCGCGAUCGUAAAGCCGGCCUUCUAGUUGUGAACCACUGUCUCAUGUAACAAGGCGUGAGUGACGGUAAUGGGUAAAAAAGCACCGGCUAACUACGUG
RNAcentral lists this ribosomal RNA (468 nucleotides) under uncultured bacterium. RNAcentral's name for it is "partial 16S ribosomal RNA". It matches the Rfam family "Bacterial small subunit ribosomal RNA", at positions 28 to 507 of the family's 1533-position model. The record is from RNAcentral.